RNAcentral lists this long non-coding RNA (314 nucleotides) under Elaeis guineensis (African oil palm). Its description in RNAcentral is "long non-coding RNA (EGUI_LNC007387)". The record is from RNAcentral. Lineage: Eukaryota; Viridiplantae; Streptophyta; Magnoliopsida; Arecales; Arecaceae.
GCCGAUAAAGAAAGAUUUUGAAUUAUUACAUAAUAUGCAAGAUUCUCCUAAUUAAUGUGAUGCUCCAUGAUUCUUGGGCUGUAUAAUUCUUACCAAUAGAGGAAUAUUUUGAAUUGCUGCACUAUAUACAAGAUUUUCCUAAUCAAUAUGAUACUCUAAGAUUCUUGCCAAUAAAUGUAACUCAUGGCAUGUGUCUAGAAAUAGCCUUGGUAAUACUAACAUCACAUGUGAUGCUGGAACCACCUACAAGGAAUAUAAUCUACUUGCAUAAUCAAAGCAUUCAAAAUAACAUAUACCAAGAUUUGCUAAACUAC